Long non-coding RNA from Fopius arisanus, 883 nucleotides. RefSeq lists it as uncharacterized. The transcript is spliced from 2 exons. NCBI's taxonomy places the organism in Eukaryota, Metazoa, Arthropoda, Insecta, Hymenoptera, Braconidae. The record is from RefSeq and is a predicted model, not a curated record.
ACAAUUUUCUAUAGGUAUUAUUUCAACUAAUUAACGCAUCGAAAUAUUAAUGUAAAAUUAAUUGGGAAAAAUAUAACGAAUUAUGGAAAAGGGUUAUAACGUUUUUGACACAUCCCUAAUAACUUGAAAAGGAAAGAAGGUACAAAAAUUAUCAUCUGAAAAUCCAAGAUUUCCUAGUUCCAUGCAAAACGUGUACCAUUAUUAGUAAGUUAUUGCCUAAAUCUGACAAAUAUUAAAUAUCCUAGAUACAGAAUCUUACAUCAGUCGGCUAUUAUACACAUGAUCAUAUAUUGAAUGUAACUGCCGGAGUACGAGCACCAUAUGGACCCAAUAUAUCCUUUGAAGUUUGCAUCUUCGUCGGAGGCCAGAUUGUGCCGCCAAUUACAUAUCCUAGAAAUCGAAGACGGCCUUGGUGUCGCCUACGUAUCCUCGAACCUUCUGAAUGCGAGAGGGCAGGCGUACAAGUGAGAUCAACUGAAUUUUGCGCCAAGACUACUGAUCCAGCGAACCUCCUAACGCUGGAGGAUGAAGGCAGUCCACUGGUAUGUGAUGGUCACAUAGUCGGUAUAUAUACUAAUCCCGUCCAGCCGCGGUUUUUGCCUCGUUAUAGUAUAAACGGUCCACCUAUAUUUGUAAAAGUCAUAUCUCAUCAUGCCUUUAUUGUUGAGGCCAUGCAGUCCUAAUGAGUCAAAUAAGAGAAUGUGAUGGAAAAUUUGAUUGACGACUCUUCGUACUCAACCGAAUAAGAUUAUAUUCCAUUUUAGUGUAAGAUGAUUUUCUGAUUAUUAUGCACCAGUUAUUAUUUGUCACUUAAUUGUACCCAUGUUCUGUUGUCUUGUAACUAAUGAUAAGACCCAAUAAAAGAAAUUACACUUGCAGUCCA